RNAcentral lists this ribosomal RNA (490 nucleotides) under uncultured bacterium. Its description in RNAcentral is "bacterial SSU rRNA". It matches the Rfam family "Bacterial small subunit ribosomal RNA", at positions 29 to 507 of the family's 1533-position model. The record is from RNAcentral.
AACAAACGCUGGCGGCGUGUCUUAAGCAUGCAAGUUGAGCGGCAAGGAGGAGAGAUCCUCCCUAGAGCAGCGGACUGGUGAGUAACGCGUGGGUAAUCUAUCUUAGGCAUGGGGAUAGUCACUAGAAAUAGUGGGUAAUACCGAAUAAGUUCCAUAAGGGGAGGACUUAUGGAAGAAAGGUGCUACGGCACUGGCCUUAGGUGAGCUCGCGUCCCAUUAGCUAGUUGGUGAGGUAAAGGCCCACCAAGGCGAUGAUGGGUAGCCGGCCUGAGAGGGUGUACGGCCACACUGGGACUGAGAUACGGCCCAGACUCCUACGGGAGGCAGCAGCUAAGAAUAUUCCGCAAUGGACGGAAGUCUGACGGAGCGACGCCGCGUGGAUGAAGAAGGCCGAAAGGUUGUAAAGUUCUUUUGCUAGGGGAGAAUAAGUGUGGGAGGGAAUGCCUGCACGAUGACAAGGACUAGCGAAUAAGUCCCGGCCAACUACGUG